AUUGAACGCUGGCGGCAGGCCUAACACAUGCAAGUCGAGGGACCGGCGCACGUGUGAGUAACACGUAUCCAACCUGCCCUUUACUCGGGGAUAGCCUUUCGAAAGCAAGAUUAAUACCCUAUAUAAAGGAUGGGGAUGCGUUCCAUUAGGUUGUUGGUGAGGUAACGGCUAACCAAGCCUUCGAUGGAUAGGGGUUCUGAGAGGAAGGUCCCCCAGAUUGGAACUGAGACACGGUCCAAACUCCUACGGGAGGCAGCAGUGAGGAAUAUUGGUCAAUGGGCGCUAGCCUGAAACAGCCAAGUAGCGUGAAGGAUGAAGGCGUAUGGGUCGUAAAUUUCUUUUAUAUAAGAAUAUGUAUUAUAUGAAUAAGGAUCGGCUAACUCCGUGCCAGCAGCCGCGGUAAUAC
RNAcentral lists this ribosomal RNA (406 nucleotides) under uncultured bacterium. RNAcentral's name for it is "partial 16S ribosomal RNA". It matches the Rfam family "Bacterial small subunit ribosomal RNA", at positions 30 to 526 of the family's 1533-position model. The record is from RNAcentral.